This 1400-nucleotide ribosomal RNA is filed under the name Escherichia coli. Its description in RNAcentral is "partial 23S ribosomal RNA". It matches the Rfam family "Bacterial large subunit ribosomal RNA", at positions 418 to 1801 of the family's 2925-position model. The record is from RNAcentral. Lineage: Bacteria; Pseudomonadati; Pseudomonadota; Gammaproteobacteria; Enterobacterales; Enterobacteriaceae.
CGGGACACGUGGUAUCCUGUCUGAAUAUGGGGGGACCAUCCUCCAAGGCUAAAUACUCCUGACUGACCGAUAGUGAACCAGUACCGUGAGGGAAAGGCGAAAAGAACCCCGGCGAGGGGAGUGAAAAAGAACCUGAAACCGUGUACGUACAAGCAGUGGGAGCACAGAGCAAUCUGUGUGACUGCGUACCUUUUGUAUAAUGGGUCAGCGACUUAUAUUCUGUAGCAAGGUUAACCGAAUAGGGGAGCCGAAGGGAAACCGAGUCUUAACUGGGCGUUAAGUUGCAGGGUAUAGACCCGAAACCCGGUGAUCUAGCCAUGGGCAGGUUGAAGGUUGGGUAACACUAACUGGAGGACCGAACCGACUAAUGUUGAAAAAUUAGCGGAUGACUUGUGGCUGGGGGUGAAAGGCCAAUCAAACCGGGAGAUAGCUGGUUCUCCCCGAAAGCUAUUUAGGUAGCGCCUCGUGAAUUCAUCUCCGGGGGUAGAGCACUGUUUCGGCAAGGGGGUCAUCCCGACUUACCAACCCGAUGCAAACUGCGAAUACCGGAGAAUGUUAUCACGGGAGACACACGGCGGGUGCUAACGUCCGUCGUGAAGAGGGAAACAACCCAGACCGCCAGCUAAGGUCCCAAAGUCAUGGUUAAGUGGGAAACGAUGUGGGAAGGCCCAGACAGCCAGGAUGUUGGCUUAGAAGCAGCCAUCAUUUAAAGAAAGCGUAAUAGCUCACUGGUCGAGUCGGCCUGCGCGGAAGAUGUAACGGGGCUAAACCAUGCACCGAAGCUGCGGCAGCGACGCUUAUGCGUUGUUGGGUAGGGGAGCGUUCUGUAAGCCUGCGAAGGUGUGCUGUGAGGCAUGCUGGAGGUAUCAGAAGUGCGAAUGCUGACAUAAGUAACGAUAAAGCGGGUGAAAAGCCCGCUCGCCGGAAGACCAAGGGUUCCUGUCCAACGUUAAUCGGGGCAGGGUGAGUCGACCCCUAAGGCGAGGCCGAAAGGCGUAGUCGAUGGGAAACAGGUUAAUAUUCCUGUACUUGGUGUUACUGCGAAGGGGGGACGGAGAAGGCUAUGUUGGCCGGGCGACGGUUGUCCCGGUUUAAGCGUGUAGGCUGGUUUUCCAGGCAAAUCCGGAAAAUCAAGGCUGAGGCGUGAUGACGAGGCACUACGGUGCUGAAGCAACAAAUGCCCUGCUUCCAGGAAAAGCCUCUAAGCAUCAGGUAACAUCAAAUCGUACCCCAAACCGACACAGGUGGUCAGGUAGAGAAUACCAAGGCGCUUGAGAGAACUCGGGUGAAGGAACUAGGCAAAAUGGUGCCGUAACUUCGGGAGAAGGCACGCUGAUAUGUAGGUGAAGUCCCUCGCGGAUGGAGCUGAAAUCAGUCGAAGAUACCAGCUGGCUGCAACU